AAAUCAACUUUAUAACGGCGUAAAGAGUGGUCAUAUGUUAUCCAAGUAGCUAAGAUUAAAAAGCAGCUGAGCUGUCAUAAGCCCAAGAUGCGUCACAAGGCCUCUUUUCAAAGAAAAUCUUAGACCAACGAUCAAUUAAAGCCACGAAAGCCAGGGCCCAAACUGGGAUUAGAUACCCCACUAUGCCUGGCCCUAAAUCUUGAUGCUCGAUCUAACCGGAGCAUCCGCCCGAGAACUACGAGCACAAACGCUUAAAACUCUAAGGACUUGGCGGUGCUCCAAACCCACCUAGAGGAGCCUGUUCUGUAAUCGAUGAUCCACGAUAUACCUGACCAUUCCUUGCCAAAAACAGCCUAUAUACCGCCGUCUCCAGCCCACCCUCCAUGAAGGUUCAACA
This 397-nucleotide ribosomal RNA is filed under the name Staphida castaniceps. RNAcentral describes it as "Yuhina castaniceps partial 12S ribosomal RNA". It matches the Rfam family "Bacterial small subunit ribosomal RNA", at positions 606 to 1080 of the family's 1533-position model. Lineage: Eukaryota; Metazoa; Chordata; Aves; Passeriformes; Zosteropidae. The record is from RNAcentral.